GAAAUGCGAUACGUAGUGUGAAUUGCAGAAUUCCGCGAAUCAUCGAGUCUUUGAACGCAAGUUGCGCCCGAGGCUCGUCCGAGGGCAUUCCUGCCUGAGCGUCAUCGCGCCACCCACCGAACCCUUCGGGGUCGAGUGAAUCUGGCCGUCCGAUCCCGUUCGGGAUCGGUCGGCUGAAAUUCAGAGAGUCCCGUUGCCGUGGAGACGCGGCUGCGAUCAGGUGAUCCGACCCUCCCUGAUCAGGAGCGAGGAAGCGUGCGCAGUCCCUGUCGUCUCUCAAGCAGCAUUGAAUCGGGACUCGAGCAGGUCUCGCGGUCCUCGACGGUUCCGUCCAACGGAACCGUCGAACAGGCCGGGAAACAGUCGAACGCAUCAGACCUCAGAUCAGGAAAGACUACCC
Molecule: unclassified non-coding RNA, 400 nt
Filed under: uncultured fungus
Lineage: Eukaryota; Fungi
Description: sequence contains ITS1
Rfam family: 5.8S ribosomal RNA (bases 1-104)
Source: RNAcentral